This 429-nucleotide ribosomal RNA is filed under the name Chloroflexota bacterium. RNAcentral's name for it is "Chloroflexi bacterium partial 16S ribosomal RNA". It matches the Rfam family "Bacterial small subunit ribosomal RNA", at positions 355 to 776 of the family's 1533-position model. Lineage: Bacteria; Bacillati; Chloroflexota. The record is from RNAcentral.
UGGGGAAUAUUGCACAAUGGGCGCAAGCCUGAUGCAGCCAUGCCGCGUGUAUGAAGAAGGCCUUCGGGUUGUAAAGUACUUUCAGCGGGGAGGAAGGGAGUAAAGUUAAUACCUUUGCUCAUUGACGCUACCCGCAGAAGAAGCACCGGCUAACUCCGUGCCAGCAGCCGCGGUAAUACGGAGGGUGCAAGCGUUAAUCGGAAUUACUGGGCGUAAAGCGCACGCAGGCGGUUUGUUAAGUCAGAUGUGAAAUCCUCGGGCUCAACCUGGGAACUGCAUCUGAUACUGGCAAGCUUGAGUCUCGUAGAGGGGGGUAGAAUUCCAGGUGUAGCGGUGAAAUGCGUAGAGAUCUGGAGGAAUACCGGUGGCGAAGGCGGCCCCCUGGACGAAGACUGACGCUCAGGUGCGAAAGCGUGGGGAGCAAACAGG